CCAAAGGCUCUUUCUAAGAGCCACAUACCAUACGUUUCUAAAAGAACU
Molecule: non-coding RNA, 48 nt
Organism: Operophtera brumata (winter moth)
Lineage: Eukaryota; Metazoa; Arthropoda; Insecta; Lepidoptera; Geometridae
Source: Rfam